UUUCCCUUUCUGUUCCCUUUUAUGAUUCUACAAUUUCGGCCUCCACUAUCUGCUUCUUUCGUCCAGGUUCGCAAAGAGGCAACUGUCCGUUCGGGUUCAGACCUUAAAGGAUUACUUGAAGACCUACAAGGAACAAUUCACAGCAAUUUUGGCGUUUCGUCCAACAGAGAACAUAAGUGAUGGAUCAAAGUUGGUUAUUGAAUCGAAGUUGGAUACGUGCGCCACGCAUAAGUGAGCAAUAUGAGAUUGGAGUGUAAUAUUUUAUUGAAUAUGUAAUACGGAAUGGUAAUGAUGAUAUGAAUGGAAAUUUUCUCUAUCCUUGUGUUAAUUGUUGUAAUGAGAGUUGUUUAGAACUUGAUGUUAUAAGGGAACAUCUUUUAUGUGAUGGGUUUCUUAAGAUUUAUACACGUUGGAUAUGGCAUGGUGAAAAUAUUGAUAUUCCAAAUGUGUCGGCUAAAACUCAAAAUCAAACUUUUACACAAGAGGUAGAUAUGGAUGAUCGGCUUGAGGAGAUGAUUCGUGAUGUUGGUCCAGAAUCAUUCCAAAGAGCACAUAUGUAUGAAAUUUUAUGUAGGGAUUCAGAGAAGACGUUAUAUCCAAACUACACAAAAUUCACAAGAUUGUCAGCGGUAUUGAGAUUGUUUAAUUUGAAGGCGAGACAUGGGUGGAGUGAUAAAAGUUUCACAGAAUUGUUAGAGCUGUUGAAAGAAAUGCUUCCAGAAGGUAACACAUUGCCUAGUCGUAACUACGAGGCAAAAAAAGUGUUGUGUCCCAUGGGUUUAGAGUAUAAGAAGAUACAUGCAUGCCCAAAUGAUUGUAUGCUAUAUCAUGGUGAGUUUGAAGGGUUGCAUCAAUGUCCAAGGUAUGGGUUGUCACGAUAUAAAAAGAAGCAAAGUAAUUUUGAUUAUGAUGUUAGCACUAAGGGUCCUCCGACGAAGGUUCUAUGGUAUUUGCCAAUUGUUCCAAGAUUGAAGCGUUUGUUUGCUAAUGCAAAUGAUGCAAAGUUGAUGAGAUGACAUGAAGAUGAGAGGAAAUGUGAUGGACAACUUAGGCAUCCGACAGAUUUCUUGCAAUGGAAAAAAAUUAAUUCUAUGUUUCCAAAUUUUGGUAAGGAGGCAAGAAAUGUUAGGCUUGGACUAGCUAUAGAUGGAAUGAAUCCGUUUGGUAAUUUAAGCACAAAGCAUAAUUCAUGGCCUGUUUUGUUGGUAAUUUACAACUUACCUCCAUGGUUAUGCAUGAAACGCAAAUAUGUGAUGUUAUCUAUGAUGAUUUCUGGUCCAAGGCAACCAGGAAAUGACAUUGAUGUUUAUAUAAGUCCAUUGGUCAAAGACUUAAAGAUGUUGUGGGAGGAAGGAAUUGAUGUGUUUGACGGGUAUUCAAGUGAAUUAUUUAAGUUGCAUGCCAUGUUGUUCUGCACAAUCAAUGACUUUCCAGCAUAUGGAAACUUGUGCGAGUACAACGUUAAGGGGCAUAAAGCUUGCCCUAUAUGUGAAAAAGGGACUUGUUAUCAUCAAUUGCAUAAUUGGAAGAAGACAGUUUACCUAGGUCAUCAAAGGUUUCUUAAACCUAACCAUCCAUAUCGAAGGUUAAAGAAAGCUUUUAAUGGAUGUCAAGAAUAUGAUAUUGCUCCUACUGCCUUAACUGGUGAGGAAGUUUAUGAAUGAGUGAAGAAUUUAAAUGUGAUACUUGGAAAGACAAAAACACAAUCAAAAGAUAUAAACAUAUGGAAGAAGAGGUCGAUAUUAUUUGAUCUUCCAAUUGGAAGCUUCUUGAUGUUAGAAAUUGCAUUGAUGUCAUGCAUGUUGAGAAAAAUGUAUAUGUGACAGUGUAAUUGGCACACUUCUCAAUAUUUAGGGCAAGACAAAAGAUGGACUCAAAUCUCGUCUAGAUUUGCAACUCAUGGGGAUACGACAACAAUUAUAUCCACAAUCUAAGGGUAAGUGAACAUAUUUUCCCCCAGCAUGUCACACAUUGUCAAAAAAGGAGAAAACAAGUUUUUGUGAGUGUUUACAUGGUGUCAAAGUGCUGUACAGUUACUCUUCUAAUGUAAAAAGUCUAGUAUCAAUGAAAGAUUUGAAAUUAGUUGGCAUGAAGUCUCUCGAAUGUCAUGUACUGAUGCAACAGUAUCUUCCUAUGUUAUACGUAAUGUUUUACCUAAAAAUGUGAGACAAGUCAUAACUAGGCUUUGCUUAUUUUUCAAUGGCAUAUGCAACAAAGUAAUUGAUCCUCAGAAGUUGGAUGAAUUGGAAGAUGAAGCUGUUCUAAUAUUGUGUCAAUUAGAGAUGUAUUUUCCUCCUUCAUUUUUGGACAUUAUGGUUCACUUAAUCAUCCACUUUGUUAUGGAGGUUAUGUUUUGUUGUCCAGUCUUUUUGAGGUGGAUGUACCCAAUUGAGCGAUACAUGAAGAUACUAAAAGGGUAUGUGAAGAACCAAUAUCGUCCAGGAGCAUCCAUCAUAGAAAGGUACAUUGUAGAGGAUGCAAUUGAGUUUUGUACUGAAUACAUGUCUCAAGCUGAAUCAAUAGGCAUUCCUAAGACUGGUCAUGAGGGACGAAGUGCUGGGAAGGGUACAAUAGGCACAAAAAUAAAAAGCAUGAUGCGAGAAGAAGUACUUCAAGCGCAUUUGUAUAUAUUGAACAACACCGAUGAUGUUCUUCCUUAUUUAAAUGCCCACAAAGAUUUAGUGAAGAGAUUUUUUUAAGUAAUUUUUUUUGAAUUACUAUUCUAUUGAAAUUGAUUUUAUAUUAUUU
Cajanus cajan (pigeon pea) is the source of this 2748-nucleotide RNA transcript. RefSeq lists it as uncharacterized. NCBI's taxonomy places the organism in Eukaryota, Viridiplantae, Streptophyta, Magnoliopsida, Fabales, Fabaceae. The record is from RefSeq and is a predicted model, not a curated record.